GUACCCACUUCGGCAGCACACGUACUGAAAUCUGAAGGAUACAGAGCAGAUUAGCAUGGCCCCUGUGCAAGGAUGACACGCAAAUUCGUGAAGUGUUCCCUUUUUUU
Myotis myotis is the source of this 107-nucleotide small nuclear RNA. Lineage: Eukaryota; Metazoa; Chordata; Mammalia; Chiroptera; Vespertilionidae. The record is from RefSeq and is a predicted model, not a curated record.